Diabrotica virgifera virgifera (western corn rootworm) is the source of this 575-nucleotide long non-coding RNA. RefSeq lists it as uncharacterized. The transcript is spliced from 2 exons. Lineage: Eukaryota; Metazoa; Arthropoda; Insecta; Coleoptera; Chrysomelidae. The record is from RefSeq and is a predicted model, not a curated record.
UGUAAGUAUCGACGUAGAAGAUACAUAGAAGCGUAAAGAAGUUUAAAAGAUGUAAAUGUAUGUAGAAGAAGAACAGUCAUUGGAAGAGUGUAAUUAUAAAAGUGCAGUGAAUAAGGUACCUUAGGGAUAAUAUGUCAAAGGGGAUAAAGUUUGCUGAAAGGAAAUUCUAAUUUUCAAAAGGUAACAAACUACGACAAAUCAAGAGCAAGUGAAAAAGGAGGAUUGAGACAUAUUGACCUGAUGAUUAUAAAUUAUUUAAGUUUUUGGGAAUAAAACCACUUUUCUCCCUCCGGGAGCUUCAAGCAUCCUCAAAUCACCGGCGAUACAACAACAAGGACCAUGUCAUCUGGACUGCAACCACAUCACCAAGACUGCAACGACCAACAUCCGUAGGCCUGGUGGAAUACAGCAUUCAGAACCACAGCACCAGUUGCAGAAACAGCAGUACCAUUCAACAUCAAGAAGUUACCAUCGAACCAACACCACAAGCCAUGCACAAGUAUAAUCCAGAAUUGUUAGUUUUUGACAUGAAUUUGUUAAUCAUAUUUAUUGAAUAAUAAACAUGAUUAGUUAAA